This 1470-nucleotide ribosomal RNA is filed under the name metagenome. RNAcentral describes it as "bacterial LSU rRNA". It matches the Rfam family "Bacterial large subunit ribosomal RNA", at positions 1422 to 2925 of the family's 2925-position model. The record is from RNAcentral.
ACAGGUUGAAAUUCCUGUACUGCUUAUGGACAGAACUGUGGGGACGCAGAAGGAGAGCACGAGCCGGAAAUGGAAAAGCCGGUACAAGCGUAUAGCAGUCAUGCAGGCAAAACCGCAUGAAAAAUGUAAAGCGUUAUGUGGAUCGAACAUUAGUAGAGAAGCGUGUGAGCCAGCUGCCAAGAAAAGCCGCUAUUGUUUCAUAAGUACCCGUACCGUAAACCGACACAGGUGGAUGAGGAGAGAAUCCUAAGGCCGGCGGGAGAAGUGUUGUUAAGGAACUCGGCAAAAUGACUCCGUAACUUCGGGAGAAGGAGUGCCACAGAGAUGUGGCCGCAGAGAAAUGGCCCAAGCAACUGUUUAGCAAAAACACAGGUCUAUGCAAAACCGAAAGGUGAGGUAUAUGGGCUGACGCCUGCCCGGUGCUGGAAGGUUAAGAGGAGAGGUUAGAGCAAUCGAAGCUUUGAAUUUAAGCCCCAGUAAACGGCGGCCGUAACAAUAACGGUCCUAAGGUAGCGAAAUUCCUUGUCGGGUAAGUUCCGACCCGCACGAAAGGCGUAAUGAUUUGGGCACUGUCUCAACAACACACCCGGUGAAAUUGAAAUACCAGUGAAGAUGCUGGUUACCUGCGCCAGGACGGAAAGACCCCAUGGAGCUUUACUCCAGUUUGAUACUGGGAUUCGGUACUGUCUGUACAGGAUAGGUGGGAGGCUAGGAAAUGGUGACGCCAGUUGCCAUGGAGCCAACCUUGGGAUACCACCCUUACAGUACUGGGUUUCUAACCUGCAGCCGUAACCCGGCUGGGGGACAAUGUCUGACGGGGAGUUUGACUGGGGCGGUCGCCUCCGAAAGAGUAUCGGAGGCGCUCAAAGGUUCCCUCAGAACGGUUGGAAACCGUUCGAAGAGUGCAAAGGCAGAAGGGAGCUUGACUGCGACACCGACGGGUGGAGCAGAUACGAAAGUAGGACUUAGUGAUCCGGUGGUAUAAAGUGGGAUUGCCAUCGCUCAACGGAUAAAAGCUACCCUGGGAUAACAGGCUUAUCACUCCCAAGAGUUCACAUCGACGGAGUGGUUUGGCACCUCGAUGUCGGCUCAUCGCAUCCUGGAGCUGUAGCAGGUUCCAAGGGUUGGGCUGUUCGCCCAUUAAAGCGGUACGCGAGCUGGGUUCAGAACGUCGUGAGACAGUUCGGUCCCUAUCCGGCGUGGGCGUAGGAUAUUUGAGAGGAGCUGUCCUUGUACGAGAGGACCGGGAUGGACAAACCUCUGGUGUAUCUGUUGUUUUACCAAAGGCAUGGCAGAGUAGCCAAGUUUGGCAGGGAUAAACGCUGAAGGCAUCUAAGCGUGAAGCCCCCCUCAAGAUAAGAUAUCCCAUCUUCGGAGUAAGACCCCUUGAAGACUACAAGGUUGAUAGGCUUCAGGUGUAAGUGUGGUAACGCACUCAGCUGAGAAGUACUAAUAGGUCGAGGACUUAUU